This 205-nucleotide long non-coding RNA is filed under the name Elaeis guineensis (African oil palm). Its description in RNAcentral is "long non-coding RNA (EGUI_LNC075536)". Lineage: Eukaryota; Viridiplantae; Streptophyta; Magnoliopsida; Arecales; Arecaceae. The record is from RNAcentral.
GCAGGCCACUAUUUCCCCCCUCCUACUCCUCUCGAUCCGCAGCAUCCUCCUGAGAUUGACCUCUGGGGCAGAAGCCCCGGUGGGAGAAUUCCUCGAAAGGGCUCGGAAGACGGAAGGCGGCGGGGAGCCGAUGGAAAUGGCGAAGAUUGGUGCGAAGAAUGCUUAGGGUCGAAAAGGGCGCUGAUGGGUGGCUAAAUUCUCAGGC